UGAUCAAGAUUCUAAGAAAAAUUGAACCAUGAACAGUUUGGGUUCAUUUUACUAGUUAUUAAAGUUGUUUUCUAUUCUUUUAUUAAAAAAAAUUCCUGUUCUCUACUCUACAAUUAGGAAAUUUUUGGGAUAGUGUUAUUCAGUCAAAAAUUAGGAAAUUUAGACGUUACUUCUUCCGGGGAAAUUAAUAAAUUUUCAAAGCUAAAGUCGUAAUUAUUUCUGAUAAUUAAUAGGUAUAAAUAUUAAUAGAGUCUAUCUUUAUUUUUAUUAAAAGAAAAUAAAAAAUAAUACACUUACAUCAAAAUAACAUUAAUUCAAUAUUUCUUAUGCAAGGUUACAAGAAUGAAAUGCGGUGGUAUCAUCUUUGCCCUUCGACUCAACCACACACUGACUGAUGCUGCUGGCCUAUUCCAAUUCAUUUCCGCUAUGGCUGAGAUGGCACAAGGCGCAAUCUCUCCUUCAAUCCAACCUGUAUGGGAAAGGCAUCUCCUAACUUGUCGAACUCCCCCACAAGUCACAUGUACGCACCAUGAAUUCGACAAAGUAGAUGAUAUAAAAUCAUGUACAAACUUCACCCCAUUGGAAAACAUGGUUCAUCGCUCAUUUUUCUUCAAUCCCUCUCAUAUAUCCUCCAUCCGUAGAUUUGUUCCUUUGCAUCUUCACCAUUGUUCCACAUUUGAAGUCUUAACUGCUUGCUUAUGGCGUUGCCGGACACUUGCUUUACAAUUCGACCCUGAUGAACAAGUUCGCUUGCUAUGCGUUGUCAAUGUACGCUCCAAGUUUAAUCCUCCAUUGCCAAAGGGAUAUUACGGAAACACGAUCGUGCACCCUGUAGCUGUAACAACAGCAGGAAAAUUAUGCCAAAACCCAUUAGGAUACGCAAUAGAGCUAGUGAAGCAAACCAAGGAAAUUGUGACUGAAGAGUAUGUGAAAUCGGUGGUGGAUUUUUUGGUGACAAAGGGUCGGCCACCCAUUAACUUGGUUCGAGUCUACCUAGUUUCGGAUGCAAGACACGCCAAGUUUUUCGAUGUUGAUUUUGGAUGGGGUAAGGCAAUGUACGGUGGGCCUGCCAAAGGAGUGGUGGCAAGCUUCCUAAUACCUCAUAGGAAUAAGAAAGGGGAAGAUGGACUUGUGGUGCCAAUUUACUUACCGGCUUCGGCUAUGGAAAGAUUUGUUAGAGAGUUGAAUAGAAUGUUGAAAGAUCAUCCAGCUGGUAGUCGAAGUAAUUCCACUUUCAUUAAAUCUACCUUGUAAAAGUAAUGUCAUAAAGCCCAACCAAUUUCAUUGGCCGGGCUAAAGCUCAUUUCUCUAAUUUCAAGCUUCUAUCUUUGAAGCCCCCAUUUUUGGGUGAGGCUCCCCCCAGCCCCACGGCUCCACCGUAAACCUAUCUCGUGCGUAUGUUUGUUUAAUGGUUAUAUAUUUAUGUUCUCCGAACCAUAUUAAAGCAACAACCUUCUUCAUUUUGUGCUACAAUGGAUACUCCUCAUGUUCUAAUUAUUUGUUAUAAUAUCAAAUUUAUAACUUCUUGCUGUUAAUUUGAUGCGUUUGUUAAUAAGGCAAAAAUUGAUCAUUAAUCUAUAUUGGAGUCAUUUGAGAUUGGUCAAAAAUAUGAUAAUAAUAUUUUCCGACUACAAUUAAUAAUCAUAAAUAUAACCUUCAUUUUAUAAAUAAAUACUCAAAUUUUAUGAGACUAAAAGAAAUAUUGUGUGAUGAUGGCACAAAUUAGGAAGACAACUUCUGUUUUUGUCAAUAGUAUUCCUUUUAAAGUUCAUUUGAGGUGGCUGAGGAGAAUUUUUCAUCUGUUCGGCUAGGUUGUAGAUGUAUUGUGAAAAGAAGAAGCAAGAGUGGGAGAAACUUUGGUUUGUUUUAUAGGAUCGUAUCUCUAUGAUGCUAGAAGAGCAAUGUCUGGAUUGAAUGGAGCUUGGUUAUUAAAUUAUAGGCUGGGUGUCAACAUUGUAAGAUUCAAUGGUAAGGAUUCAUAUUGGAAGAAACAAAGUGUAGAAUAGAGUGUCGAAUCAAGACAUGUCAUUGAAGACGGGAAAAGAGAAAUUGAAAGAAGUACCAAGGCGCAGAACACAGUACAGAGUGGUAGGUUGUCCUAUGCAUAGGCUUUAAAGGAUGAGAAUGAGAAUGCAGAGCACCCUCUAUCCCUAAAAAAGGUCGUACAUGCAAUACUCAAUCAGUUUAAUUAAGUAUAAAUUGGACUUUUAGCAAUUUAGAAGAGCAACAAAGAAGAGCAAAAACACAUAACGCACACUCCCUCCCCUAAGACCAUGCAUAAAACCCACCCUUUCCAUCUUCAAGAAGCAAAUCAGCACAAAUCAGAGCACCAACCACGCCAAUCAAAAAAGGCAAAGAAGACUCAAAAGACAACCACAACUCCACAUCAAACGAGAUGAAUUCAGCAAAAAUGACUCAGCAGGAGAAAUAAAAAAGCAAGCGCAAACAUCCACCCAACUCAAAAUAGGAUCACAACAAAUCUCACCAGAACACCAAGAAAAUGGAAACAGAUCCAAAGGUGACACACCUCAAACAACCCAAGAAAAAAAGAAACAGAAGCAAGACCAAAGAUAGAAGUCACCCGUUAAAAACUUUCAUCAAUGUGAUUGAUCAUCCGCAUAUCAAUCUCUCUUUCAACCUCUUCUUUGGCAAGAGAAUCCGCAACAUUAUUUGCGGAUCUAGGAUUUGAAUAUGCCAUUUGUUGGGAUGUGGGCUUACCUUUUCAACAGAAUAUACCACUCAUUUUCUGAUCGAAUAAGCUUGCCUUACAAAUCCUCCUUCGUGCACAUAACAAUUUCUUCACUCUCGUUGUUAUAGAGUGGCUACUAGAGUCCUCCACAAGGAAUUAUACGUUCCAAAAACCUCUGAUCUUUGAUGGUGUCUCAAGAAUGAAGAGAAGGAGAUAAAAAAAAAAGGAGAAAAGAGCCUUUGGGUUUUUCUGACUUACAGAAGAACUUGCAUUCACUCUUUUUCUGUGCCUUGAAACUAGCAUAUCUAUUCACUAUUUAUAGACGUAUUAGGAAUAUAGAGAUAGGAUAUUAUGUUUAAAUUUAAACAAAUUAAAUUUAAAUAUAAUUAAUCCUUAUUUAAAUUAAUUAUUCAAUUAAGUUAUAUCAAAAUAAUAUCUAAUAUUAAUUAAUUGAAAAUUAGUUAAUUAUCCACAAAUAAUUAAUAAAGUUGCAUGUCAUGUGGACGCAUCACAUUUAAACGCAACACCAUUCUUUAAGCUUACUAAUUAGGUUAAUGAUGUUAGAAAUUUGUUUUCUAUGUUUCCAUGGUGCAGUAUCAAGAUGCUCAACCCACUUGAUAGCUGUAAUGGAGUCACUUUCUAAGACAAGGUGAUGACCGAUGCACCUAGAGUCUACAAAGAUAAGAAGAGCUUCUUUGAUAGAAAACAGUUCACCAAUAAUGGAGGAGAUUUGAUUUGAAAUCUUUUAUCCUAUAAUUAUUGACAAAUUAAUAAUCAUUAACUAAUUGAUUCCUUAGUCAACGACAUAACCAAUGUAAUUGAUUUCUUAAACCAUGGCAUAAGCAAUGCCUUUACCUUAGGCAACCACUUAUUGUAAAUAUUUAUUUCCUUGUAUCACCAUCACCACUUGUAUUUAAGCACACCGUGCUUUAUGAAUAAAACCAUCAAACAGAGUAUUCAAACUCUUCAUGGUAUUAAAGCAGAGGUUGCAGACAACCAAAGCUAUAUCUAGAUGGCUAAUAGGGGUGAAGAAGGAGCAGACAAGGGUAAUGGGAAUUUGGUGCCAACUACAAUCUCAUCAAACAACAUUGUAGUUGACAUCAGAUCACAUUGCUAUCUACACUCCUCUGAUCACCCUGGUCUAAUUUUUUUUAAUAUAAUGGACGAGAUUUGACUUGAAAGUGGCAUGUGAUUGAUUAUAUAAGCUGUUGUGAGUACACAUUCACCCUAGAAGGUGAAGGGAAGGUUGGCUUGGAAUCGAAGUGCACGUGCUACUUUAAAAAGAUGGCGAUGCUUUCGUUCUACCACUCCAUUUUGUUAGGGUGUGUUUGUGCAGCUAGUGUGUCUCUUCAUCCCAUACUCAAAAUAGUGAUUCGCCAAAUCUUCAUGAUCGAACUCCAAUCUGUUAUCUAUUCGUAAUAUAUUGACUUGUGCAUUAAACUGUGUUUUGACCCACUUGAAGCAAUAGAGCAAGAAACUCUUUGUUUUUGAUUUAUGUUUCAUAAGAAAGACCCAUGUUGCUUAGUUGUAAUCAUCAACAAUUGAUAGAAAAUAGUGUGAUCCCGAAAAAGAUGCGGUGUGAUAAGGACCCCAAAUAUCAUAGUGAAUCAAAUCAAAAGCUUGUAAACUUUUAUUCUUACGACUUUGAAAAGGCAACCUAGUUUGUUUUGCUUUACAACAAGCAUCACAAAGAAAAAUGUCUUUCUUAUUAUAAGUGAUAGCCAAGUUUGGAACCAUUGAGAGGCGCUCUAAUGGAAUAGGCCCUAAUCGAUGAUGCCACAGAGUUACGGUAUCUUUGCCUUUAGUCAGAAAUGCUUUGCUUGUUCUUGUUGGCUCCAAAUAAUAAAAUCCGUUUCACACUCUACCCACUCCAAUCGGCUUCCUCGAGAGUAAGCCCUAUAUUACACAAAAAUCAGAUCCAAAGAUCAGGAGAUAGUUCAAGUCACGAGUUAUCUUGCUUACAGAUAAUAAGUUAAAACAAAACUCAAGUAUGCCAAGAACUCAUUUUAAAGUCAAGCUUUGCCCAAGAUUUAAUCGACCCAAAGCAUGUACUGGUACAGUGUCAAAAUUUGGAAUUUGAAUUGGUGGAAUUUUAGGAUUUUUGACCAUAUCUAAUAAACCAUCAAUUUGAUAAGUGAUAUGGCUUGUGGCCCCAAUAUCAAUUACCCAUGUGUCGUCCCUUUUUUCAAGAAAAUUACUAGAGCAAUUACCAUUGGAGACCAUGUUUGCAACUAGCCUAUUAAUAGAGUUGGUUUGGAUAGGUCACUGGUUUAAGAGAUCCAUUAAUUAUUGCAUCUGGGCUUGAGUCAAUCCAAGAAUCAAAGAGGAAUCUCUCGUUCCAAUGGAAGAAGAGGAAGCUGGCCCAAUCGAAAAGGAACCUAUCGAUUCGAUGUGAAUAUCAUUUGACCUUGCCAUAAAAGCACGUGCUUAUCCCCCAACGUCCCCAACAGUUGUUCUAGCCGCCCGAUUACCGUGUGAUUCUCCUCUAGCCUUCUAUCUUCAUUGCCAAUUUGGUGGGUAACCCAAAAUUUCAAAACAUGACUCACGGGUGUGGCCCAAUUUGUCGCAAUAAGAGCACUUGGGGCAUGGCCCUUGUCGUUCUCCAUGCCUCUCAGUCUGAUCACCUAUGCCAUGCUUUCUCAUUCCACCGAUGAUUUGAUUUUUGGUCAAUAGGGCUGCCGCUUUUGUCAUUCCAACCUAAGCUACUACAAUAGCCCCCUGUUUUUCUUCUUGGGCUACAAUCGAGUAAGCAUGCCCAACGCUAGGCAACGGUUGACGUUAAGGAUUUAAGAGUGCACGAUCCUAUAGUUGUCAUCAAACCCAUCAAAAAAUGGAACAACUUUUCUUCUUCUCAUAUUUCCUGCAUCUGUCUAGCUACACCACAAGUACACUUUCCAUAACUACAAACUGGUGAGGGUUGAAAAGUUUGAAUUUCAUUCCAUAAUGAUUUAAAUUUUUCGUAGGAAGUGGAAAUUGGAACUGUUUCUUGUUGUAAAAAUGCGAUUGCUCAUUUGAGUUCAUAAACUCUAUGAGCAAUUCCCUGAGUGAACCUUUCUUUAAGGUCAGUCCAUACCUCACUAGCAAUCUCUGCAUGUACAGCUCCCCCUUGCAAUUCCUUGGAGAGAGCGUUUAUUAACUAGGAUAAUACCGUUGCAUUACACUGCACCCAGUCUUGAAAUUCAAGAGAAUUGAAUUUUGGUUUUGGGAUUGACCCAUCCAUGAACCUUGCUUUAUUUUUGGAUUGAAGAGCAUUCAUAAAAUUGCGUCUCCAAGUGAAAUAGUUUUCUCCGGUUUCACUUAUGAAUAAAAUUGUGUCUCUCCCUUUCGCACUUAAGGGAUGAUGAACUAAAAAUCUCUCAGCUAAAAACUCAUUUGGAUCGCGAAUUUUGUAUCAAAAACUUGGGCAAGCUAAAAUACUUUUUGGGAAUUGAGGUAGUGUGAUCACCGUUUGGAAUUGUCUUAAAUCAAUGAAAAUAUGUGCUUGCCAUUUUAGCAGAUAGCGGACUUAUUGGGUGUAAACCCGUGGCAUCAUCUAUGGACCAACAAAUCAAGUUAGAUCCUGAUGCAGGCCUACUUUGUUCAGACCCAGGACAAUAUAGGAGAUUGGUAGGUAGAUUGUUAUACCUCACCAUUACUCGACCUUAUAUUAGUUUUGCUAUCCAUAUAUUAAGUCAAUAGUUGCACUGUCCACGUCAGACACAUUUUGAUGUAGCCUUGUGUGUACUACGAUAUUUGAAAGGAGCACUAGGUCAAGGCUUAUUAUUGCCUAGUCAUAAUCAAUUAACACUUCAAGCCUAUUGUGAUGCCGAUUGGGCAAGCUGUCCAACAACACGAAAAUCAACCACUGGGUACAUCAUUUUUCUUGGCUCAUCACCCAUUUCAUGGCAAUCCAAGAAAUAAUCAAUAGUCUCUUGAUCAUCUGCAGAAGCAGAAUAUAGAGCCAUGGCUACUACGGCAAGUGAGAUUGUAUGGCUCCUAAGUUUGUUGGACGAUUUGUGCAUUUCUCAUCCAACACCAGUUUCAUUAUUUUGUGAUAAUCAAACUGUAAUUCAAAUUGCAGCAAGUCAAGUUUUUCAUGAAUGCACCAAACAUAUCUAAAUUGAUUGUCACUUUAUCAGACAACACGUUCAGUCAAAGAUCCUUGUUCCCAGGUCAAUUUCAACACAUUUUCAAUUAGCAGACAUUUUCACCACGGCUCUUGGACGAAAUCGAUUCUAUGAUCUAUUGGCCAAGUUGGGCAUUACCAAUUUACAUGCUCCAACUUAAGGGGGAGUAAUGGAGGACAUUUGACUUGAAAUCUUUUAUCCUAUAAUUAUUGACUAAUUGAUAAUCAUUAACUAAUUGAUUCCUUAGUCAACGGCAUAACCAAUGUAAUUGAUUUCUUAAGCCAUGGCAUAACCAAUGCCUUUACCUUAGGCAGCCACUUAUUGUAAAUAUUUCUUUCCUUGUAUCACCAUCACCACUUAUAUUUAAGCAUACCGUACCUUAUGAAUAAAACCAUCAGACAGAGUAUUCAAACUCUUCAAGCAAUGUUAGCAUCUCCCAUACCAAUGGCUGUGGAAAAGGAAAUAAGAAUGUUACCUUAACAAUAUCUAAGAACACCACUGAUGCUAGAUUCUCAUGGGUUUCCCCAAGCAAUCCCAUCAGUAUCUCAUCAGUUUUAAAUUUGAGCUGACCCUGAUCCAGGAGCUUUCCACUCAGCAAUGUGUUUUUUCUUUAGAGGUUUUGUAUUCAAAGUGAUCUACUGUGGGGCUCUAAAAAUAUCUAGAAAGGACCUGGUUUCUUCUUUCUACUUGAUUUAGUCAACCAUGCCAUUCUAACCUUACAAGUUCGAAAACUUGGAUACUGUCCCACAUUUUUUCAUUAAAUACCAACUUGUUUCUUUGCAACCAAAUCGACCAAAGUAUUGCAAAUAUCCCAUCUCCCACACCUCAUUUCUUCCUAAUUUGUCAAAAUGCACAUCAUUCCAAGCUGAAAAGAAUGAACAAGCAUUGCCUGAACUGAUCCAACUGAUGUUUUAAAUACUAUACCAUGUAGCCCAAAUCUUCCAAGUAACCUCACAUUUAAAAAACAAAUGAUCCGUUGUUUCCAUUUCUCUCAUCCAUAAUCCAUAGCAUGCAGCUUCAAUAUUCAUAAAACUGCUGAGAUUCGAUCUCAUAUUCAAACAUGAAAUUAAUCAAGAGAUUGAAAGCAUAACACAGUGGAAAAAUAAAAGAUGCAUCUAAUCAAAAAAAUCAACUGAACCCCUCAGAUUAAUUGUUUGUAUUUUUCAUAUAAUUUUUAAAUUAAUUAUGAACACUCAUAAAUUCAAGUAUUACACACUUUAUUCUAAAUAUCUAAUUAAGAAUCAAUUUAAAAUUUACGAACAAAGACCCCUUUUAACCAGCUCAUUUUUCACUACUAGGCUUUGACGCAAAACUUGCCAAUUAAAAAUUUUACCUUAGGAGACGCUAACCCAGACCACACUUCUUUCCACAAACUUUUUUCAUUCCCAUUGUUACCCUCUACAGUUUCAUAAAAGGACUUAGUUGAAUACGAACCACCAACUGUACCCUUCCAAACGAAUUUAUAUAUCAUGAAGAGUGCUUCCUAAAACAGUUUCACCAAUGAUCCGUAAUUAAAAGUUCCAUUGAUCCUUUUUCCAAUCAAAAAUAUUUUGACGAAGUUGAAUGUCCCGUUUCCACUCAUUAUUGUCCCAAAAGCCAAAUUCACUCAAAAUCCCUAGCUUGUUGAUGGAAAGAGCAAAAAUACACGGGAAAGCAUCAUUAAUUAAUGUGCCAUCGAUCCAUUUGUCAUGACAAAAACGAAUAUUGUUUCCGUCACCCAUCACAAUGCCCAUACUAAAGUAAUUGUUAGCUGGAGAACGGGGAAAAGGAUAUUUUUCCAUAUUUUAGAUGGUUUGUAACUCUCUCUCACAUGGGGAACAAGCUUAGAGGGAUUUUCACAAUUUUUCUUCUGUAUAACAACUCUCCAAACGUGGUUUCUUUCAUCACUAUAAUGCCAGAUCCAUCUAUUAAAUAACGUCCAAUUUUAUAGAUUUGCUUCUCUUCCUUUCAUCCAAAUUCAAUGGUUCCAAAUUGGGAGGAAAAAUCUUUUUCUACUUAAAUUUAUAAUUUUACCCUUAAUCUCCUUCUUUCCCUUUAUUUUUCAUCUUUCAUACCAACCACAAGAUAGGAAAUAUGAUUUUACUUCCUCCCUUCCAUUUUGCUUUACUCACAUUUUUCCCUUCCCUCCAUCUCCGUCCUUCCUAGCAAACAUAGUGUAAAGAACGGAAUUUGCCCCUUCUCAUUCCCUUCUUAAUUUUUUUUUUCUUCUCAGUAACUCUAGUGCCUUCAUAGUAUUUACAUUUGUUCUACUCGCGAUUGUUAUCAUGUCGUUGUACAUGAAUAUUUAUUUUUUACUUUUAAAUGAUUGUAGAUAAAUAUAUAUAUUUAAGUUAUAAAAUUUUAAGGGCAAAUAAUUCAAAUUUUGUAUAAUGUUAAUUUAUAAAUUAUUUAAUACUAUUAUAAUUAAAAAAACUUAAAUAAUGCUCUUACUAAAAAAUUAUGAUAAGUAAAUUUCUAUGCUUACUUAAUAUUUCUUUCUAUAUUUUUCUUUUUUGUCAAAUAUUUUUUGUAAAAUAUUAUAAUUUAGAAAAUUUUUAAUACUUUAUCAAACAUAUAAUUUGUAUAUUUUAAAUUACCAAAAAAAAUAAAUGAUGGUAUAAUAAUAAACAAUGAGCUCCGAUAUGGUUUGACUAAUAUGUAAAAUUUGUUCUUUUUUAGAAGUAAAAUUUUUCAAAAAAGAAAGAUUCAAAAUUGACUUUUGAACAAGUGGUACAUAUAUUUAUUAUUAAAUUAAAAUAUUAUUUUAAACCCAAGCUAGUUAUCAUUGACAUUUGUGAAUAAAUUAAAUGCCAUUAAUUUGAUUUAAAGUAAUUAAUGUGGUUAGGGUUUAGACAUAUGAUUUGUCUUUUGCACGCUGUGUGUACAUAGAUUCCUUCACAAACUAUACAUCUAAACAUUUGGAAAUUUUCUUUCAUUCAUUUUUUUAACUAAAAAAAUGAUGAUUAAUAAAUAAAUCAAAAUUAUUUUUUACGAAUUACAAAUGCCUUGACAUAUUUGGCUUCACAUGCAUAUUCUUCUAUUCAAAUCUUUCCUCUCUCAGAAAUAAAAUCUUAAUAAAAGAAAUUAAUGCUAUAUAAUAAUUCAAAUUUCAUAAGAAUUAUGACAACGAAAUAAAAAAAUUAUUUAAUUACUUGUUCAUUUAAUCAAUAAAGUAGUAAAAAUUAAUUAGUUACAUUUCAACCAAGAUUAAAGAUUAGUUAUUGUGUUCAAGUGGUAUUUAAUUAAGAAAAUGUGAAAAAAAAAUGCUUCUUGAAGGUUGAACCCCAUUGCUUAAAUCUUGGUAGUUCUCACUACAAAGAAUUGAAGAAAGAAGAGGGCAAUGUUUGGUUUCCUUUAACUUAUGAGGCAUUCAGUAUGUUACAAUACAAUGUGAUUAUAGGCAAUGUGAUUGCAAGAAAUGAGAUUAUAUAAAAGAUAACAUUAUAAUGUUUGGUAUAUAAACAAAGUAAUGAUUAAAAUGUAAGGAAUGUAGUGUCAAUUUUCAAAAUUACCCCUAUGUAUUAAAAUAUUAAUUUAAUAUACUUUUAUUUUUAAUUAAUAAUUUUUAUAUAAUAUCAUCUCUUAAAUAUGUAUUUAAUGUCGUAUUUUAUUUUCAUUUCUUAAUAUAAUUUCUUAUAUUAUAUUUUUUACUUUAAUUUCUUUUUUUAAGACAAUAUCUAAUAUUUUAUUUUAAGUUGAAGGGCAAAAAUGUCUUUAAACAUAUUGUAAAGUGCAAUGCAAUCUUAUUGCAUUAGUUUUGUACUUCAAUCACAUUACAUCCAUUGGUUAUUAUGUGAUUACAUUACAAUGUUACAUUACAAUAGUUUAUUGUAAAACGAAUAUUGUAACAUAAUUUAAUUAGACAUAUUACAAGAAAUGUACUCUUACUUCCCUUAUAACAAGCACUAUUUUAAUUUUCUAUAGUUGUUAGUCAUCUUUCCUUAUAGUUUAAGCUCCCAUGGCACCUAGACCCACUUCCCUGUUAAACAAGCCAUUCUCUUGAACGAGGAUAACACUCUCCCUUAUGAUCACUAUAACCAAAUAGGCCCUUGUUCCAAGUAGUCAUUAAUGAGCCUAACCUACCCACAGUAUGACUCAAGAACCAUUGUAUAUCAACAAAAGGCCAUAAUCGCCUAGUUUGGUUUCUAGGAUUAAAACCAUUUCAACUUCGCACAUAUCGACAAUUUUUCUUACCAUGCAUUCGUCUUCAAACAGCUUCUCAAACUUCUAAUGUUCUAAUGCCAGAAAUUUCCCAGAAAUAAUAAUUUUAUAAAUAACAUAUUUAUUUUCAUUUAAAAUAAGGUUGAAAUUUAUCAUUUUAUAUAAUUUUCAUUUAACCACAAAAUAACAAUAUUUGAUAUCGAAACAUUUAGAUCAAUAUGGAGUUCAACCCUUUUAAUAAGAAGGGCAUUGAUUACAAUAAUAUACAUGUAUUAGAUAAAAAGCAAUUAACGUAUAAUAUAUAUGUAUACAUGUGUAGCUAGGUAGUAUGUAAAUAUGAACAUAAAGAUACCUUCUUUCUUUAUUUGUUAUUUUAAUCAAUUAAUUAAAAGGAAUGAAAAGAGUGGUCCUACUCAAACAUGACAGUACCGUUUAGCUACUUGUAUAGGUUAUUUUAAUUAAAACAUUAACAAGAAGUUUUGGGGUACCCUAACAUCAUUUGCCCUUCCUAAUAAUACCAAAAUCCGUGUGACAAAGGAUCAAUUAUAAAUUGAUUCAUUUCCCAGUACUACAUAUCCAGCAAGUGAUGAUACGCUUGACCUCAUACGGAGCAAAGAAAGUCAAUUGUACAAGAAGAUUAUAUAGCUGCAACCAUCCCACCGCAGAUUUUGAUGUCAACCACUUCUGCCAUGGUGCCCCAACCCACUUCCCUGGUCUUCACCGUCCGUAGGUAUGAACCAGAGCUCGUGAAAGCUAGCCAGGCCCACCCCUCGUGAGCUCAAACUGUUAUCGGACAUUGAUGACCAUGAGGGUCUUCGGAUCCAGAUCCCGAUUAUCCAAUUUUAUCAGUACAAUACUUCCAUGCAAGGGAAGGAUCCUGCUAAGGUUAUUUGGGAGGCACUUGGAAAAACUCUAGUGUUUUACUAGCCAUUUGCUGUAGGCUAAGGGAAGGGCCAAACGGCAAGCUUAUGGUGGAUUCAGGGACGGAGCUAGCCAAUUUUUAUUGGAAGGCCAAAAGUUAAGAAAAAUAAAAGUUAAAAAUUUUUAAAGCUAAUAUCUUAAACUUAAUCAUUAAUAAUCAAAAGAUUUAUAAUAGACAAUAAUUUUAUAUAAAAGUUUUAUUUGACGAUGGCGAUAUCUUUUUUAAUAUAAAUAAUUAAAUUAUUUGUAAAAAACUUAUUAUCUAUUUUGUUUUAGAGUAUUGUCUUUCUCAAUAUAAAUGACUAAAAAAUUACUAUAGUUAACAUCCAAUAUUCUAAUUUUAUUGUAUUUAAGUUUAUAAUACUAAAUAUUAAACUAUAAUGCAUAAAAUAUAAAUAGUUAAAUACGAUAUACAGAAUUAAUAAUUUCUUCUUAUACUCAAGAUAAUUUCCUUUCAAUUAAAUAUAAAAUGUAAAGUGCAUUAAAAACAUAUACUCAAGAUAAUUUUUUUAUAUAAUUAAGAUUAAUAAAAAAUAAUAUAUUGGUGAAAUUUUAAACAAUAACCAAUAAUGCAACACUAGAAUUUAUAUUUGAGAAUUACAUAUACAAUAAUUUUUUAAUUUUUAAAAAUUAAAAUCAUUAUAAAUAAAAUUCACAAAACAAAAAAAAAAAAACAUGACAAGUAGAAGAUUUAACCUAUAUGACAAAAAUAAAAGAAUAUAGUUGAUGAUUCGUAGAAAUUUAAAAAAGAAAAUUUAUAGAAACUUAAAACAUAUGAACAAAUAGAAUAUAAUUGAAAAAAAUAAAAAAAUAUAAAUAAUAAUAAUGUAAAUAGAAAAAAUUAAAUAAAAACUUUACUUCUUUAUAAUUUUACAAUACAAAGACAGAAAAAAAUAGAGGAAAAAAUGAGUGAAGAGACUUAAAAAAUUUAAAAAUUUAAAAACUUGAGUAAAAUUAAAUGGGACUUGUAAGAUCAUUGUAUUAUUUUUUAAUUAUAUUAAUUAUUCAAUAAAAAAUUAUUUUGAAAAAUCAUUAAAAAAUAUAUAAUAUACAAAAAUUUUCAAAAAUUUUGAGGGGCCAUGACAAAGGGACGCUCCACCCUUGGGUGGAUUGUACUCAGGGGCGGAGCAUCCUUAUGUGAUGGCCCCCCCCAAAAUUUUAAAUUUUUUUUCAUAACAUAUAAAAAUUUUAAAAUUUUUUUAUAUAUUCUAUAACUUGCUCCCUCAAAAUAAUAUUUUAUUUAAUGAUUAAUAAAAAUAAAAAAAUAAUAAAAUGAUUUCACUUAUCUCAUUCAACUUUAAAUUUUUAUAAUUUAUAUUAUUAUUUUUGUUUAUAUUUUUUUAUUUUUUCAUAUAUUAUAAGUUUCUAUAAAUAUUCUUUUUCAAAUUUCUACAAACCAUUAACCAUGUUCUUUUUCUUUCUUUUUUGUUAUGUAAUAUGUGGUAGCUACCUUCUACUUGCCAUGUUCUUCUUUCUUAUGUUACAUAAAUUUUAUUUUUUAUAAUUUUUAUCUUUAAAAAUUAAUAAAUUAGUAUAUAGUUCUCAAAUAUAAGUUGUAAUAUUACAUUGUUACUUAAAAUUUUAUCAACGUAUCAUUUUUUUAUUAAUCCUAAUUAUGUAAAAGAAAAUUAACUUGAGUAUAUUUUUUUAUAUGCUUUACAUUUUAUGUUUAGUUAAAAUGAAAUUCUCUUGAAUAUAUAGUAUUUAAAUAAUUCUGAUUAUAUAAGAAAAAAUUAUUAAUCUUAUAUAUCGUUUUUAACUAUUUAUAUUUUACAAAUUAUAGUUUUAUAUUUAGUUUCGUAUUUCUAUUAUCAAUAUUUUUAUUAUUAAUUGAAUUUAACAUAUUAGUUUUUUAAAAUUUUUAACUCUUAUUUAACUGUGUUUGGUCCCCUCAAUAAAAUUUGACUAGCUCCGCCCCUGAUUGUACUAGUCAAGGCGCGUUGUUUGCUGUGGCCGAUGCUGAUGUUAAACUCGAGCAAUUUGGUGAAGCACUUCUGCCACCAUUUCCUUGCUUGGCUCAGCUUCUUUAUGAUGUUCUCAGCCCCAGAGGGAUGCUAAAUCGCCCAUUGUUGUUGAUCUAGGUAUUAAUUUGUUUAUUACACGAAGCUAUGAUCGAGAUUCUAAGAAAAAGUAAAUCAUGAACAGUAUGGGGUCAUUUUACUAGUUAUGAGAGUUGUUUUCUUUUUUUUUUUAAAUUCGUGUUCUUUUCUCCACAAUUAGGAAAUUUUAGGGAUAGUGUUAUUCUGUCAAAAAUUAUGAAAUUUAGAUGUUGCUUAUUUCAUGGAGAUAAAUGGAAACUAAUAAUUUUUCAAACCUAAGGCCAUAAAUAUUUAUGGUAAUAAAUAGGUAUAAAUAUUAAUUAAGCAUAUCUUUUUUUUAUUAAAAGAAAAUAAAAAAAUAAUACAUCUAUAUAAAAAUAACAUUAAUUCAAUAUUUCUUAUGCAAGGUUACUAGGAUGAAAUGCGGUGGUAUCAUCUUUGCCCUUCGACUCUACCACACUAUGAGUGAUGCCACUAGCCUAUUCCAAUUCAUUUCCGCUAUGGCUGAGAUGGCACAAAGCGCAAUCUCUCCUUCAAUCCCACCUGUAUGGGAAAGGCAUCUCCUAAGUUGUCGAACUCCUCCACAAGUCACAUGUACGCACCAUGAAUUCGACAAAGUAGAUGAUAUAAAAUCAUG
This 14532-nucleotide long non-coding RNA is filed under the name Theobroma cacao (cacao). RNAcentral describes it as "long non-coding RNA (TCAC_LNC003528)". The record is from RNAcentral. Lineage: Eukaryota; Viridiplantae; Streptophyta; Magnoliopsida; Malvales; Malvaceae.